This 553-nucleotide ribosomal RNA is filed under the name Aspergillus oryzae. Its description in RNAcentral is "eukaryotic LSU rRNA". The stretch from base 186 to 339 matches the Rfam family "5.8S ribosomal RNA". The record is from RNAcentral. Lineage: Eukaryota; Fungi; Ascomycota; Eurotiomycetes; Eurotiales; Aspergillaceae.
UUACCGAGUGUAGGGUUCCUAGCGAGCCCAACCUCCCACCCGUGUUUACUGUACCUUAGUUGCUUCGGCGGGCCCGCCAUUCAUGGCCGCCGGGGGCUCUCAGCCCCGGGCCCGCGCCCGCCGGAGACACCACGAACUCUGUCUGAUCUAGUGAAGUCUGAGUUGAUUGUAUCGCAAUCAGUUAAAACUUUCAACAAUGGAUCUCUUGGUUCCGGCAUCGAUGAAGAACGCAGCGAAAUGCGAUAACUAGUGUGAAUUGCAGAAUUCCGUGAAUCAUCGAGUCUUUGAACGCACAUUGCGCCCCCUGGUAUUCCGGGGGGCAUGCCUGUCCGAGCGUCAUUGCUGCCCAUCAAGCACGGCUUGUGUGUUGGGUCGUCGUCCCCUCUCCGGGGGGGACGGGCCCCAAAGGCAGCGGCGGCACCGCGUCCGAUCCUCGAGCGUAUGGGGCUUUGUCACCCGCUCUGUAGGCCCGGCCGGCGCUUGCCGAACGCAAAUCAAUCUUUUUCCAGGUUGACCUCGGAUCAGGUAGGGAUACCCGCUGAACUUAAGCAUA